AUGGACCGACAAGUUCCCGCUACAGAUCCUUGGUGGUACCCCGGCGAGGCCGCAGCAUCCACCGGCGACGACGACUUCCUCGACAUUGAAGGUCUACUCGGGUUGGCGUGGGAAGGAGGCACGGCUCUUCCCGGCGUCGGCUCUCCGCCACCGGCGCUGGGGCCACCGUGCGCGUCGCCUCCAGAGCCAACACCUUCCGAAGACGUGAUGGCAGCGUGGCUCUACCCGAUCGUCAGUGGCGAGGACAAUGCCGGGGACGGCCCCAUGGUGAAGGGCAAACCGUCGGCCAAGGCGUCGGGGAGUUUGGGGAUGACGGAGAGCGAGGGGAAUCUUCCGGCUACGGACGGCAUGUACCAUGUCAAGGACACAAACAUAACGAGCGAUUCCAGCGAGAGGAGGAAGGCGGCAUCAGGAGGCUCAAACAAAACAAGGUCGUCUCGUCACUCAGAUACACACAACGAUACAGAAAAGAGGCGAAGAUGCAAGAUCAGUGACAGGCUCAGGACCCUGCAGCAGCUCGUCCCUGGAUGCAAGAAGUGUAACCAGGCGUCGACGCUGGAGCAGACGAUCCAGUACAUGAAGUCGCUGCAGCGGCAGGUCCAGGCAAUGAAGUCGCUGCAGCGGCAGGUCCAAGCAGUGUACCCCGUCAUGCAGACGGCAUCGGCGCCGGCCGUCGCGGUGACACUGGGCGCCGCACCCGCCUCGGCAGCUCCAGGGACGGUGCUCGCGGGAGGAUGCGUCCCGCUCCUGCCUGCAGGAAUGGCUCCGUUCGGAGCCAUGCUCCCGUACCCUCCUUACCACGCCGUGAUGAUGCCAGUACAGGCGGCGAAGGCGGUCCCAUUUUACCUCCCACGGCCGGCAGCCUCUGCUCCUCUAGAGUGGCAGUGCUCCGUCUCCAGGGAGCAGCAUUACAAAAAGGGGCAAGGAAGGAGGGAGAGAUUGUAA
This 945-nucleotide ribosomal RNA is filed under the name Triticum aestivum (bread wheat). Its description in RNAcentral is "partial small subunit ribosomal RNA". Lineage: Eukaryota; Viridiplantae; Streptophyta; Magnoliopsida; Poales; Poaceae. The record is from RNAcentral.